UACGUAGGGUGCAAGCGUUGUCCGGAAUUAUUGGGCGUAAAGAGCUCGUAGGCGGUUUGUCGCGUCUGCUGUGAAAACUCGGGGCUUAACCCCGGGCCUGCAGUGGGUACGGGCAGACUAGAGUGCGGUAGGGGAGGCUGGAAUUCCCAGUGUAGAGGUGAAAUUCGUAGAUAUUGGGAAGAACACCGGUGGCGAAGGCGGCUCACUGGCCCGUAACUGACGCUCAUGCACGACAGCGUGGGGAUCAAACAGG
Molecule: ribosomal RNA, 253 nt
Filed under: uncultured bacterium
Lineage: Bacteria
Description: partial 16S ribosomal RNA
Rfam family: Bacterial small subunit ribosomal RNA
Source: RNAcentral